UUAGAAGCUUGCUUCUAUGACGUUAGCGGCGGACGGGUGAGUAACACGUGGGCAACCUGCCUGUAAGACUGGGAUAACUUCGGGAAACCGAAGCUAAUACCGGAUAGGAUCUUCUCCUUCAUGGGAGAUGAUUGAAAGAUGGUUUCGGCUAUCACUUACAGAUGGGCCCGCGGUGCAUUAGCUAGUUGGUGAGGUAACGGCUCACCAAGGCAACGAUGCAUAGCCGACCUGAGAGGGUGAUCGGCCACACUGGGACUGAGACACGGCCCAGACUCCUACGGGAGGCAGCAGUAGGGAAUCUUCCGCAAUGGACGAAAGUCUGACGGAGCAACGCCGCGUGAGUGAUGAAGGCUUUCGGGUCGUAAAACUCUGUUGUUAGGGAAGAACAAGUACGAGAGUAACUGCUUGUACCUUGACGGUACCUAACCAGAAAGCCACGGCUAACUACGUGCCAGCAGCCGCGGUAAUACGUAGGUGGCAAGCGUUAUCCGGAAUUAUUGGGCGUAAAGCGCGCGCAGGCGGUUUCUUAAGUCUGAUGUGAAAGCCCACGGCUCAACCGUGGAGGGUCAUUGGAAACUGGGGAACUUGAGUGCAGAAGAGAAAAGCGGAAUUCCACGUGUAGCGGUGAAAUGCGUAGAGAUGUGGAGGAA
RNAcentral lists this ribosomal RNA (650 nucleotides) under Priestia megaterium. RNAcentral describes it as "bacterial SSU rRNA". It matches the Rfam family "Bacterial small subunit ribosomal RNA", at positions 72 to 706 of the family's 1533-position model. Lineage: Bacteria; Bacillati; Bacillota; Bacilli; Caryophanales; Bacillaceae. The record is from RNAcentral.